CAUUAAGUGUCUGAAACAAAAUAAGAAUUGGUCUUUUAAACCAAAUAUAGUAAAUAUAUUAAACUCUUAAUGA
This 73-nucleotide transfer RNA is filed under the name Osmia pedicornis. RNAcentral describes it as "tRNA-Lys". The record is from RNAcentral. Lineage: Eukaryota; Metazoa; Arthropoda; Insecta; Hymenoptera; Megachilidae.